Poeciliopsis prolifica (blackstripe livebearer) is the source of this 971-nucleotide long non-coding RNA. RefSeq lists it as uncharacterized. NCBI's taxonomy places the organism in Eukaryota, Metazoa, Chordata, Actinopteri, Cyprinodontiformes, Poeciliidae. The record is from RefSeq and is a predicted model, not a curated record. The transcript is spliced from 3 exons.
AGUUAAUUUUAACUCAGUAAGUGUAUUUUUAACAUUUAGCGAUUUAAAUGAUGCCCAGUGUUGGAGUUAUUUCGCAGAGUUGAUUGCGUUGGUGUUGAAUUAACUCUGCUGGGAGAUAAAUAAGCUCCUCCCCUCUGCUUCAGUUUGAUUUCAAUCUGAACACGGCUCCAUUUUCUUCAUCUCCUGUUCUACACGGUAAGUGUCCAACUUACUAAAUAUUUUGUCCAGCACUAUUACAUUGACAGAGUGAGUGAUUUGACUAUUUCUACUAAUUACCACAUAAUGAAAAGCAGCUGAAUAUGUCCAUUUUGCAACAGUUUUACACAACAUGUUAGCUGGUAGCUAGUAGCACUUACACCUGAUAUUAUUAUAAUGGUAAUUCUUACAAAACAUAUUUUGUCGGACCAUACACUCGUAAAAAAUAUACUUCUACGUUUUUGCCGUUUAAAAUGAUAAUUUUGGCCUUGUGAAUGUAAGCUAACGACUAUUAGCUUCAACGAGCCGAAGUCACGUGACACCAAUAGCAGAGUUACAGUGAGGUGAACUCUUGACCUUUACCUUAUUUUGCUUUGUCUAGGUUUAUCCCAUGCUUAAAUAAAAUGCUGAUCCAUGUAAAGUUUGGUGACCUGCAAAAGUAUGUGAAGUUGGAGGAAGUCGAAGGGCUGUUUGACUUUAAUCAGUUUCAUGAGAAAGUCAUUGAACAAUUUUGCCUGCCACCUGAUACCAAAGUUACAUACAAAGAUGCAACAGAUACUGAAGUUGACGAAGAAAUAUUCAGUGACCUCCUUAGACAAGGCAAUGUGGUACAGACAGUUUUCUGCUAUGAUGAGUUCUCAGAAUGGUCAUCUGCUUCUGACUCAAGCUUCAACUCAAAUGCAUCAACAUCAACAAUACUAAUGGAUGAGAUGCCACGCAAGAAGCAAAAAACUGAGAAUCCUGAUAACUCAGUGUCUGCUAAAAAUGUAACAAUA